This 440-nucleotide ribosomal RNA is filed under the name uncultured bacterium. Its description in RNAcentral is "partial 16S ribosomal RNA". It matches the Rfam family "Bacterial small subunit ribosomal RNA", at positions 338 to 795 of the family's 1533-position model. The record is from RNAcentral.
CCUACGGUGUGCUGCAGUGGGGAAUAUUGCACAAUGGGGGAAACCCUGAUGCAGCGACGCCGCGUGAGUGAGGAAGUAUUUCGGUAUGUAAAGCUCUAUCAGCAGGGAAGAAAAUGACGGUACCUGACUAAGAAGCCCCGGCUAACUACGUGCCAGCAGCCGCGGUAAUACGUAGGGGGCAAGCGUUAUCCGGAUUUACUGGGUGUAAAGGGAGCGUAGACGGCUAAUCAAGUCAGAAGUGAAAACCCAGGGCUCAACCUUGGGAGUGCUUUUGAAACUGAGUAGCUAGAGUGCAGGAGAGGUAAGCGGAAUUCCUAGUGUAGCGGUGAAAUGCAUAGAUAUUAGGAGGAACACCAGUGGCGAAGGCGGCCUGCUGGACGACAACUGACGGUGAGGCGCGAAAGCGUGGGGAGCAAACAGGAUUAGAUACCCUAGUAGUC